RNAcentral lists this ribosomal RNA (510 nucleotides) under uncultured bacterium. RNAcentral describes it as "bacterial SSU rRNA". It matches the Rfam family "Bacterial small subunit ribosomal RNA", at positions 521 to 1032 of the family's 1533-position model. The record is from RNAcentral.
UAAUACGGAGGAUGCGAGCGUUAUCCGGAUUUAUUGGGUUUAAAGGGUGCGUAGGCGGAGAGUUAAGUCAGCGGUGAAAGUCCCUCGCUCAACGAGGGGAGUGCCGUUGAUACUGGCCCUCUUGAAUGCUCCUGCCGUGGGAGGAAUGUGUGGUGUAGCGGUGAAAUGCAUAGAUAUCACACAGAACACCGAUUGCGAAGGCAUCUCACGAAGGGGUGAUUGACGCUGAGGCACGAAAGCGUGGGGAUCGAACAGGAUUAGAUACCCUGGUAGUCCACGCAGUAAACGAUGAUGGCUAACUGCCGGGGGGCAACCUUCGGUGGCCAAGCGAAAGCGAUAAGCCAUCCACCUGGGGAGUACGACCGCAAGGUUGAAACUCAAAGGAAUUGACGGGGGCCCGCACAAGCGGAGGAACAUGUGGUUUAAUUCGAUGAUACGCGAGGAACCUUACCCGGGCUCGAACGGUGCAGGAAGAGAUCUGGAGACAGUGACGCCCUUCGGGGCCUGCAU